Molecule: ribosomal RNA, 253 nt
Filed under: uncultured bacterium
Lineage: Bacteria
Description: partial 16S ribosomal RNA
Rfam family: Bacterial small subunit ribosomal RNA
Source: RNAcentral
UACGUAGGGUGCAAGCGUUACUCGGAAUUACUGGGCGUAAAGCGUGCGCAGGCGGUUGUGUAAGACAGAUGUGAAAUCCCCGGGCUCAACCUGGGAACUGCAUUUGUGACUGCAUGGCUAGAGUACGGUAGAGGGGGAUGGAAUUCCGCGUGUAGCAGUGAAAUGCGUAGAUAUGCGGAGGAACACCGAUGGCGAAGGCAAUCCCCUGGACCUGUACUGACGCUCAUGCACGAAAGCGUGGGGAGCAAACAGG